RNAcentral lists this ribosomal RNA (527 nucleotides) under uncultured Entrophosporaceae. RNAcentral's name for it is "SSU rRNA". It matches the Rfam family "Eukaryotic small subunit ribosomal RNA", at positions 569 to 1092 of the family's 1831-position model. Lineage: Eukaryota; Fungi; Glomeromycota; Glomeromycetes; Entrophosporales; Entrophosporaceae. The record is from RNAcentral.
AGCAGCCGCGGUAAUUCCAGCUCCAAUAGCGUAUAUUAAAGUUGUUGCAGUUAAAAAGCUCGUAGUUGAAUUUCGGGAUUGGCACAUCGGUCGUGCCUUAAGGGGUAUGAACUGGUGUAGCCAAUUUCUCACCUUCUGGAGAACCGCGAUGUCCUUAAUUGGGUGCCGCGAGGAACCAGGACCUUUACUUUGAAAAAAUUAGAGUGUUUAAAGCAGGCAUUUUGCUUGAAUACAUUAGCAUGGAAUAAUAAAAUAGGACGGAUGAUUCUAUUUUGUUGGUUUCUAGGACCACCGUAAUGAUUAAUAGGGAUAGUUGGGGGCAUUAGUAUUCAAUUGUCAGAGGUGAAAUUCUUGGAUUUAUUGAAGACUAACUACUGCGAAAGCAUUUGCCAAGGAUGUUUUCAUUAAUCAAGAACGAAAGUUAGGGGAUCGAAGACGAUCAGAUACCGUCGUAGUCUUAACCAUAAACUAUGCCGACUAGGAAUCAGACGAUGUUAAUUUUUUAAUGACUCGUUUGGCACCUUACG